AGUGAACGCUGGCGGUAGGCCUAACACAUGCAAGUCGAACGGCAGCACAGUAAGAGCUUGCUCUUACGGGUGGCGAGUGGCGGACGGGUGAGGAAUACAUCGGAAUCUACUUUUUCGUGGGGGAUAACGUAGGGAAACUUACGCUAAUACCGCAUACGACCUACGGGUGAAAGCAGGGGAUCUUCGGACCUUGCGCGAUUGAAUGAGCCGAUGUCGGAUUAGCUAGUUGGCGGGGUAAAGGCCCACCAAGGCGACGAUCCGUAGCUGGUCUGAGAGGAUGAUCAGCCACACUGGAACUGAGAAACGGUCAAGACUCCUACGGGAGGCAGCAGUGGGGAAUAUUGGACAAUGGGCGCAAGCCUGAUCCAGCCAUACCGCGUGGGUGAAGAAGGCCUUCGGGUUGUAAAGCCGUUUUGUUGGGAAAGAAAAGCAGCAGGUUAAUACCCCGCUGUUCUGACGGUACCCAAAGAAUAAGCACCGGCUAACUUCGUG
Molecule: ribosomal RNA, 492 nt
Filed under: uncultured bacterium
Lineage: Bacteria
Description: partial 16S ribosomal RNA
Rfam family: Bacterial small subunit ribosomal RNA
Source: RNAcentral